This 149-nucleotide ribosomal RNA is filed under the name uncultured bacterium. RNAcentral describes it as "partial 16S ribosomal RNA". It matches the Rfam family "Bacterial small subunit ribosomal RNA", at positions 1349 to 1500 of the family's 1533-position model. The record is from RNAcentral.
UCAUUAGAUACCCGGGUAGUUCCCGGGCCUUGUACACACCGCCCGUCAAGCCAUGGGAGUCAGCAACGCCCGAAGUCAGUGACCUAACCGAGAGGGAGGAGCUGCCGAAGGCGGGGCCGGUAACUGGGGUGAAGUCGUAACAAGGUACC